RNAcentral lists this ribosomal RNA (253 nucleotides) under uncultured bacterium. Its description in RNAcentral is "partial 16S ribosomal RNA". It matches the Rfam family "Bacterial small subunit ribosomal RNA", at positions 524 to 776 of the family's 1533-position model. The record is from RNAcentral.
UACGUAGGGUGCAAGCGUUGUCCGGAUUUAUUGGGUUUAAAGGGUGCGUAGGCGGUUUUUUAAGUCAGUGGUGAAAUGUGGUUGCUCAACAAUCAAAGUGCCAUUGAUACUGAGAGACUUGAGAGAAGUGGAGGCUUCCGGAAUGGAUGGUGUAGCGGUGAAAUGCAUAGAUAUCAUCCAGAACACCGAUUGCGAAGGCAGGAGGCUGUACUUUAUCUGACGCUGAGGCACGAAAGCGUGGGGAUCAAACAGG